Molecule: unclassified non-coding RNA, 5241 nt
Filed under: Schistocerca americana (American grasshopper)
Lineage: Eukaryota; Metazoa; Arthropoda; Insecta; Orthoptera; Acrididae
Description: plasma membrane calcium-transporting ATPase 2, transcript variant X4
Source: RNAcentral
GCAGCGUUCAGUUGGGUUAGUUGGUAGUGGCGGUGGUCGUGAGGUUUGUGUGAGGUGGUGUAAGUCAUCGACUUCUAGGAUAAUUGAGGCGGAGCACCGGCCUACUCUUCUGAACGCUGUCUGUGGCCAGCAUUUCAUAUAGAAGAAAUUUGAUGUCCAUCUCGUUUCACUACAGAUUCCAAAACACAAUUUCCCGAUGACUCGAAGAUAAGGAUUAGCUGCCACAAGAUCAGGGGAAAACGAUGAUGCGUUCUUGAAAAUAAAUCCGUAUGGCUUAAAAGGAGCUACUGUUUUCAAGAGAGCUGUGUUCCACAGAUUUUGAAUUAACCCGAAGGAUUGUGCUCAGACGCAAACGAAGAUGGCUACUAUCGACGGGCGGCCGGCGCAGUACGGCAUCUCGCUGAAGCAGCUGCGUGACCUGAUGGAGCUGCGUGGCCGUGAGGGCAUUGGCAAGGUCAACGAGCUCGGCGGGGUUCAAGAAAUCUGCAGGAAGCUCUACACCUCUCCCAGCGAAGGUCUCAGUGGAUCAAAGGUAGACAUUGAACACAGGCGAGAAACAUUUGGUUCAAAUGUGAUACCGCCAAAACCACCUAAAACGUUUCUGCAGCUUGUUUGGGAAGCUCUUCAAGAUGUCACUCUUAUCAUUUUGGAGGUUGCUGCUUUGGUAUCACUUGGUCUUUCUUUUUAUCAACCAUCAGAUGAUGGAUCUGCACAUUUUGAUGAAGAUGAAGCAAAACAUGGCUGGAUAGAGGGUUUGGCCAUUCUCAUCUCUGUAAUAGUAGUGGUGAUUGUGACAGCAUUCAAUGAUUACACAAAAGAAAGACAGUUUCGGGGUCUACAAAGUAGAAUUGAAGGUGAACACACAUUUUCUGUGAUAAGAGGUGGUGAAGUUAAGCAAAUUUCUGUUGGUGAUAUAGUUGUAGGCGACAUAUGCCAGGUGAAAUAUGGGGAUCUCCUUCCAGCAGAUGGUAUUCUUAUACAGAGCAAUGACCUUAAGGUCGAUGAAUCUUCGUUAACGGGAGAAUCAGAUCAUGUGAAAAAGGGCGAGUCAUUUGAUCCCAUGGUAUUAUCAGGAACUCAUGUAAUGGAAGGCAGUGGCAAGAUGUUGGUAACUGCAGUUGGUGUAAACUCCCAAGCUGGUAUAAUUUUCACCCUUCUGGGAGCUGCUGUUGACCAACAGGAGGCAGAAAUAAAGAAGAAGAAGAAAGAAGCUAAGAAACAGCGGAAGAAGAAGAGCUUGACAGGAGCUGCUGAAGAACCUGAGGCAGCACCUGUUACAGGAAACAGCCACGUGAGUGUCCCAGCUGCACAAAUUACAGACAGAACAGCCAACAAACACAGUGCUGAUGUUCCUCCACCUUCAGAGAAUCACGCACAGGCCCCACCGCCGGAAUCUCACAAGAAAGAGAAAUCUGUACUUCAAGCCAAGUUGACAAAACUUGCAAUACAAAUAGGAUAUGCAGGUUCUAGUAUUGCUGCUUUGACAGUGGUAAUACUUGUUGUGCAGUUCUGUGUUAAAACAUUUGUUUUUGAAAAAGAAACAUGGAAGACAUCAUAUGCUAAUGAACUUGUUCGACAUCUGAUCAUUGGUGUUACCGUGUUGGUUGUUGCUGUACCUGAAGGGCUUCCACUUGCUGUAACCCUGUCACUGGCAUACUCUGUCAAGAAAAUGAUGAAAGACAACAACCUGGUUAGGCAUCUUGAUGCCUGUGAAACUAUGGGAAAUGCUACUGCAAUUUGCUCUGAUAAGACAGGCACUCUUACCACUAACAGGAUGACAGUGGUACAAACAUAUAUAUGUGAAAAAUUAAGCAAAACUUUACCAAAAUUCUCUGAUAUUCCAGAGCAUGUGGCCAAUCUAAUGGUUCAAGCUAUAUCCAUCAACUGUGCCUAUACCUCACGUGUAAUGCCACCAGAUGAACCUGGAGAAUUGCCAAAGCAAGUUGGAAACAAGACAGAGUGUGCUCUUCUGGGAUUUGUUCAAGCCAUGGGCAAAAAUUACCAGACCGUAAGAGAUGACACACCAGAAGAGGUGUUCACAAGGGUGUACACCUUCAAUUCUGUGAGGAAGUCGAUGAGUACUGUGGUACCAAGACAGGGAGGUGGUUAUAGACUCUUUACCAAAGGAGCUUCAGAAAUAAUGUUAAAGAAAUGUGCAUUUAUCUACGGUCGUGAUGGACACCUGGAGAAGUUCACUAGAGAAAUGCAAGAUAGGCUUGUGCGACAGGUGAUAGAACCCAUGGCAUGUGAUGGUCUUCGUACCAUCUCCAUAGCGUAUAGAGAUUUUGUGCCAGGAAAGGCUGAAAUAAAUCAAGUUCACAUUGACAAUGACCCUAAUUGGGAUGAUGAGGAAAAUAUUGUCAACAACUUGACUUGCUUGUGUGUCGUGGGGAUUGAAGAUCCUGUUCGACCUGAGGUACCAGAUGCCAUAAGGAAGUGUCAGCGAGCUGGAAUCACUGUUCGGAUGGUGACUGGUGAUAAUAUAAACACUGCUAGGUCGAUAGCAUCGAAAUGUGGAAUUAUAAAACCCGGUGAUGACUUCCUUAUUUUGGAAGGCAAAGAAUUCAACAGGAGAAUAAGAGACAGCAAUGGAGAGGUUCAGCAACAUCUAUUGGAUAAAGUGUGGCCUAAGCUUAGGGUUUUAGCAAGGUCAUCACCAACAGACAAAUACACUCUUGUCAAGGGUAUUAUCGACAGCAAAAUAAGCGAUAGUAGAGAAGUAGUUGCUGUGACAGGAGAUGGAACUAAUGAUGGUCCUGCAUUGAAGAAGGCUGAUGUAGGAUUUGCCAUGGGUAUUGCUGGAACAGAUGUUGCAAAAGAAGCUUCAGAUAUCAUUCUGACAGAUGAUAAUUUCAGCAGUAUUGUCAAAGCUGUAAUGUGGGGCCGCAAUGUGUAUGACAGUAUAGCAAAGUUCCUACAGUUCCAGCUUACAGUUAAUGUGGUUGCUGUCAUUGUCGCUUUUAUAGGAGCUUGCGCUGUCCAAGACAGUCCACUCAAGGCUGUGCAGAUGCUGUGGGUGAAUCUGAUUAUGGACACACUGGCUUCAUUAGCUCUAGCAACAGAGAUGCCUACACCAGAUCUGCUUCUCCGGAAACCUUACGGAAGAACGAAACCUCUUAUUUCUAGAACAAUGAUGAAAAACAUUUUAGGCCAAGCAGUGUACCAGCUCUCUGUCAUUUUUGCACUCCUUUUUGUAGGAGAUAAAAUGCUAGACAUUCCAACAGGAAGAGAUUCACCCGUUGCUAGUCAACAUUUUACCAUUAUAUUUAAUACGUUUGUCAUGAUGACUUUAUUCAAUGAAAUAAAUGCUAGAAAAAUUCAUGGUCAAAGGAAUGUGUUUGAAGGAAUUUUUACAAAUCCAAUUUUCUACAGCAUUUGGAUUGGAACUUGCCUUGCUCAGGUCGUCAUCAUCCAGUUCGGAACAGUUGCAUUUUCUACUGCCAGUUUGACACUGGAACAGUGGUUAUGGUGCCUGUUCUUUGGGGUUGGGACUCUUCUCUGGGGCCAGCUAGUGACCACGAUACCAACUAGAAAAAUUCCAAAAAUACUGUCAUGGGGUCGUGGUCACCCAGAAGAAUAUACGGAGGCGAUAGCUCUUGGUGAAGAGAAGUUUGAUCCUGAUUCUCAGGAUGGCAAGAAGCCUCGUGCAGGCCAAAUUUUGUGGAUUCGUGGCCUUACAAGAUUACAGACCCAGCUGCGGGUUAUCAGGGCUUUCAAGUCUACACUGGAAGAUCUGGAGGAACGGCGCUCUGUACAUAGUUUACACAGCUUACACAGUUUGCGCAGUUCGCGAAGCCACACUGGGCCCCGGCCCCUGUCGGACAUCACUUUCAUAGACGAGGAUACGGUGCGGACACCACCUUCACCGGGAGCCCGUGGGGCCACCCGGCAGCUGGAGCCUGCACUGCAGCAGGCCGCCAUCACAGCGCCGUCUCCGUCGGGGGCCGAGACCCAGCCCGUACAGAGUACUGCAGACCGCUCACCCUCCCGUCCUCGGCCCGCGCUCCAGACACACCACGCACACCCGUCGCCUGCCCACUUGCAGAAUCUAUCACCACAAACGACUGAUGCGAGCCCCUCCCCAUCCGCGACACAACAGGUCCCACCUGAUUUACCCAAGCUGGUACACGAGACUAGCAUAUAAAUUCUGCAAUCAUUUUUAUCUAGUCUGAUGGCAUUGAGUUUACCUAAUUGGAGAGGAGUUCUCCCAGUGACCCCGUCCGUUUGCCUUUCACCUUCCACAGCUCGCUAGGGACCCCCGCGUCUGCUCUUGGGCGGGAGAUGCAGGUUUGUGGUGGUGAUGCUGUAGCUCCUUAACAUUAAUCUUUAUUUUUAGUUUAUUACUACUGUUAAUAGCAAUAGUGGUUAAAUGGUUACAUGAAUGUUCUUUUUAUCUGUAAGACAGAAUACGGGGAGGGAGAGUGUAACUGGGAGCACUGCAUGUCGGUCGGUUGAAGUCAGAGGGGAGAUUAUGGGAUGGGAGUGCCGCAACAUGCUCUUUACCCCACUCACCUUACCACUGUUUAUUUUUCUUCACUUUGUGUGUGUGUGUGUGUGUGUGUGUGUGUGUGUGUGUGUGUGUUUUCUGAGUCUGUGUGUCUGUCUGCUUCUCUGUCGGAAGAUCUUGUAUGUUAUCUCCAUCUGCAUUUCACUAGCGCAGAGAGAAAGAGAGAGAGAGAGAGAGAGAGAGAGAGAGAGAGAGAGAGUUUUUUUUAGUAUGCACCUAUUGCGGGAACAGCAUGUGUGACUACUUCUUUCUACCUAUUUCACUUUUCAGCAUAAUUUUACCUGUUUAUGUGUAACCUUCUGUUUCUUGAUUUUGCUCUUACUCUCUGUAGAUACGGAUGUGUGUUUGUGACAAUACUUAUUUGAUGGUCUUUGUUUUAAUGCCUGUUUUCUCAAUUCCAGCUGUUAAGUUCUGUACGGUCGGUUCUAGGGGGGCCAGGGCUGUCUGCAGCAGGAAACCUUAGUUCCUACUCGCUGUAGAUGUGCCAGCUGCAGUUUUGAUCCCUCCCAUUCGAUUAAUUUUUUUUUUUUCAGUUAUGAAACAUACUACUGUUUUUCUGACCAUUGUUACCCUUUACUCUUGAAGGUGAUAGGUGGUGAGUUGCAAGAACGUUUGAUUCCGGUCCCCUACAGCAAGAGCUCCACUGACCAAGCUAUAAGAGUGGUUAACGCUUUCCGUCAGGGCCUAGAUGCUCGAUACAGUGACAACCCCACAUUGGCUGAAGUUCUGCGGAA